RNAcentral lists this long non-coding RNA (620 nucleotides) under Elaeis guineensis (African oil palm). RNAcentral's name for it is "long non-coding RNA (EGUI_LNC001697)". Lineage: Eukaryota; Viridiplantae; Streptophyta; Magnoliopsida; Arecales; Arecaceae. The record is from RNAcentral.
GGGGUGUUAUUGUGAGGAUGGUGCCUAGGCAUAUCUUUGAUGAUACUGAGGUUGAUGACGAUGUUGGACCAUGCAUACAAAGUAUUUCUUUAGGAUAAAAUUUACCUGAUAUUGUCGAGAUCCCAGAUACAUUUAUCAAGAGUAAUGGUAAUGUCCAUAUUGUAGAUGUCAGUAGACAAUGAGCUCAAUAUCUUAGUAUAAAUGUUAGUAUUUAUUUAUUGAUGCUCAACUAAUGUUAUUGUUUAACAGCAUGUUAUAUUUGUUAGUAUUUGUUGCCCAGCUAGACAACCCAAGAGAGAGGAUAAAUUAGAUUUUUAAAAUUUAAAAUAAAUAUGCACUAUUAAUCAAUUAACUCUUAGAGAAAUAGUACAAUGAGAGCUAAAAAUGUAUACAAACGAGAGAAGAGAAGGCACACACACAAAGGCACAAUAUUUUAUAGUGGCUCGAAUUGACCUCGAGUUGGCUCGAAUGGCAGUUUUCAAAAAAAUCAAUGUUCUAUCCCAUUAAGAGAGCCGGCUCGAAUUUGUCUCGAGCUGGCUCGAGCUGUAGAACUCAAAUUUUGCCUUUCUAUCUACCUGAGAGAGCCAGCUCGGAUCCUGUUUCGAGCUGGGUCGAGCAGA